AUGGCUCCUAUGGUACUUCUACUAUUUUGUUGUGUUGUGGUGGGCUGUGUUAAUUGCUAUCGUGCAUUCCUUCAGAAGAAAUUUAGGUGUACUAUGCUCGAGAUGGAAAUAGCAUGCUAUUUUCAGGCUCUUGGCAGUCCCUGUUGCUGUCCGUUCCCAUCACUCUGCAGCCCUAUCAGCGUUGCUGAAAUGUCGUGUUCUAGGUUUUGGAAUGGGCACAUCAUAGAUAAACAGGGAGUCGACGAAGCGGGUUUCCAAAAUGUUUCAGAGCUAUCAAAAUAUUGGAAUGCCAUUCAGUAUGAUCUGAUAUCACUAGAGUGGGACCGUUUAUGCUUACGUGUUUUGCAUCUCCUCAUUUGUUAUAGCAACCCCAUUUGCAUCUGA
Molecule: ribosomal RNA, 384 nt
Filed under: Triticum aestivum (bread wheat)
Lineage: Eukaryota; Viridiplantae; Streptophyta; Magnoliopsida; Poales; Poaceae
Description: partial small subunit ribosomal RNA
Source: RNAcentral